Molecule: microRNA precursor, 84 nt
Filed under: Nannospalax galili (Upper Galilee mountains blind mole rat)
Lineage: Eukaryota; Metazoa; Chordata; Mammalia; Rodentia; Spalacidae
Description: microRNA 216b (ENSNGAG00000002490.1)
Rfam family: mir-216 microRNA precursor family
Source: RNAcentral
UGGCAGACUGGGAAAUCUCUGCAGGCAAAUGUGAUGUUCCUGAAGAAGUCACACACUUACCCGUAGAGAUUCUUCAGUUUGUCA